This 977-nucleotide ribosomal RNA is filed under the name Staphylococcus aureus. Its description in RNAcentral is "partial 23S ribosomal RNA". It matches the Rfam family "Bacterial large subunit ribosomal RNA", at positions 1325 to 2297 of the family's 2925-position model. Lineage: Bacteria; Bacillati; Bacillota; Bacilli; Caryophanales; Staphylococcaceae. The record is from RNAcentral.
GAAUCCCGUCCACCGAUUGACUAAGGUUUCCAGAGGAAGGCUCGUCCGCUCUGGGUUAGUCGGGUCCUAAGCUGAGGCCGACAGGCGUAGGCGAUGGAUAACAGGUUGAUAUUCCUGUACCACCUAUAAUCGUUUUAAUCGAUGGGGGGACGCAGUAGGAUAGGCGAAGCGUGCGAUUGGAUUGCACGUCUAAGCAGUAAGGCUGAGUAUUAGGCAAAUCCGGUACUCGUUAAGGCUGAGCUGUGAUGGGGAGAAGACAUUGUGUCUUCGAGUCGUUGAUUUCACACUGCCGAGAAAAGCCUCUAGAUAGAAAAUAGGUGCCCGUACCGCAAACCGACACAGGUAGUCAAGAUGAGAAUUCUAAGGUGAGCGAGCGAACUCUCGUUAAGGAACUCGGCAAAAUGACCCCGUAACUUCGGGAGAAGGGGUGCUCUUUAGGGUUAACGCCCAGAAGAGCCGCAGUGAAUAGGCCCAAGCGACUGUUUAUCAAAAACACAGGUCUCUGCUAAACCGUAAGGUGAUGUAUAGGGGCUGACGCCUGCCCGGUGCUGGAAGGUUAAGAGGAGUGGUUAGCUUCUGCGAAGCUACGAAUCGAAGCCCCAGUAAACGGCGGCCGUAACUAUAACGGUCCUAAGGUAGCGAAAUUCCUUGUCGGGUAAGUUCCGACCCGCACGAAAGGCGUAACGAUUUGGGCACUGUCUCAACGAGAGACUCGGUGAAAUCAUAGUACCUGUGAAGAUGCAGGUUACCCGCGACAGGACGGAAAGACCCCGUGGAGCUUUACUGUAGCCUGAUAUUGAAAUUCGGCACAGCUUGUACAGGAUAGGUAGGAGCCUUUGAAACGUGAGCGCUAGCUUACGUGGAGGCGCUGGUGGGAUACUACCCUAGCUGUGUUGGCUUUCUAACCCGCACCACUUAUCGUGGUGGGAGACAGUGUCAGGCGGGCAGUUUGACUGGGGCGGUCGCCUCCUAAAAGG